Molecule: long non-coding RNA, 252 nt
Organism: Malaclemys terrapin pileata
Lineage: Eukaryota; Metazoa; Chordata; Testudines; Emydidae
Exons: 4
Source: RefSeq, a predicted model, not a curated record
CUGGUUAGCUGGGCCACACAUACUAAUACAUGCUAUGGAGUUAUAAGCAAAAUUACUUCUUCCAGUGGAGUCUCCUUUCUGUGUGAUGCAUUAUGCAAUUACAUAUCCUGCUUUCCUGUAACCCUGAGCCAUGCCAGUCUGUGCCAUUUCCAGAGGCCAUACUGAGGAAGUCAAGAUGCUGACAAAGGGAGGCAAUUAUAGGAACAUUCCUGCAAGAAGGUUGCUGGUGCUGAUGUUAUUGUCCUGAGUCUG